RNAcentral lists this long non-coding RNA (5128 nucleotides) under Sus scrofa (pig). RNAcentral's name for it is "lncRNA (ENSSSCG00000058926.1)". Lineage: Eukaryota; Metazoa; Chordata; Mammalia; Artiodactyla; Suidae. The record is from RNAcentral.
UGAAAUAAUGCACAUAAAGCCUUCUCAUUAGAACAUUAUCUAAAGGAAAAAAAUAUGUUAAAUGCUACAUUGAUUUUUGUAACAGAACAAAAUUUAUCUAAAAUCAUGAAAUAGAAUGUAGUUACCAAACUUCUUUAAAAUUUUUCAGCAGGCUUUCAUUAAUUUAGGCAAUUUAAAAAAGUCUUUAAUUGAAGUAUAGUGUUAUUGAGAUAUAGUUAUUAAUUUACAGUAUUUAAUGUUAUAGGUGUACAAAAUAGUGACUCAUAGUUUUAAAGGUUAUACUCUCUUUAUAGUUACUACAAAAUAUUGGCAUUAUUCCUUGUGCUGUGUAACAUAUCCUUAUAGCUUAUUUUAUACCUAAUAAUUUGUACUUCUUAAUCCCCUAUACCAAUUACCCCUAUCUCCUUUCCUCUUCCCACUAGUAACCGCUGUGAAUUUGGUUCUUUUUGUUACACUCACUAGUUGGUUGUAUUUUUUUAGAUCCCACUCAUAAGUGAUAUCAUAUAGUAUUUGUCUUUCUCUGACUUGUUUCACUUAACACAAUACCCUCAAGUCUAUCUAUAUCACUGAAAAUGGCAAAAUUUCAUUCUUUUUAUUGCUAAGUAGUAUUCCAUUGUGGAAUACACACACACACACACACACACACACACACACCUUUAUCCAUUCAUCCAUUGAUGGAUUGAUAUGCUUCCAUAUCUUGGCAAUUACAAAUAAUACUGCUAUGAACAUUGGGAUGCAUGUAUCUUUUCAAAUUAGUGUCUUUUUUUUUUUUCAGAUAUAUACCCAGGAAUGGAAUUGCUGGGUCACAGAGUAGUUCUAUUUUUAAUUUUUUGAGAAACCUCCAUACUGCUUUCUACAGUGGCUGCACAAAUUUACAUUCUCACCAACAGUAUACAGGGUUUCCUUUUCUUCACAUCCUCACCAUCACUUGUUAUUACUGUAUUUUUUUUGAUGAUAGAUGGUAUUCUUAAAGACCUAAAGGAAGAUAAAUAAGUCUGUUAACAAAAGGUUAAAUCCAUACUUUACUAAAGUGGAUUUUUUAAUAGUUCAGAAUUAUACUUUGCAAAUAAUGAUUCAAAUUUCAAAAGGAACAAAUCCAUGUUAAUAAAAAUAGCAGUUUUCAAAAAUCUAUCCAAACUAUGUUUUCUCUUAUAUAUGUAGUUUCUUUUUUUUUAAGAAUACAAAUAAAAAGGUUUACAUUAUUUUUCUUGGAAAAUUGUCUCUGGCUAUCUUAUGAGAGUGAAAUUUAAAUCUGAAGAGAGCAGAUAUUAAUUGAGUCCAGACUAAUCAAAAUAUGCUCUCAAGGGCAUUCUUUAUAUGAAUGUUUGGGCUAGGUCAAUCUUCCAAAUCCACAAGCAGCCUUGAGAGUUGUGAAACUGGGUGGAGGAUGUGUAUCUAAGACUAAUCUGAUGCCAAAAAGAGUUGUUAAAUGAUCAUGGAAAAAGUAAAUUUCUUCCCAGGGAAAGUGCACCAAAAAUGUUGUUUGAUUUAAAAAAAAAAAUCUUAUCCAUUUGAAAUAGAGUAAGAAAGUAUGCCUUCCUGAGAUAAUCAGGUCUCUAUUAGAUAAAAUCACUCCGUUCGAUGUAUAGGUAUUCACAGCAGGGAGCUUGUCUUGAUCAGAAAGAAUAAGGUAGUCUUAAAAUGUAAGUACAGCACUGAAUCCUCUUUAGCCAAUACCACUACUGGGUAAGAUGGACUGUGUAAUUAAUGCCUGUGUGUCUCAUGAUAAGUACUGCAAACAGUAGUCCUUCAGUAUAACUAAGGUCCCAGUAAAUCACCAGAGAAACUCAACUUCUAAAAGCAGAUUAGGUCUGUUAUAUUAAUAACAGAUUAGUAAAUAAUAUAUUUCUUCAGUGUGUCUUUUUUAUAGGAUUGUGACUUUUUAAAAAAGUAUUGAUAUUCUCUUAGAUUUUCUUUGGUAUCAGUUUCCAUCAUUUGGAAUAAGCCCAACCUAUACAGAGAGUUGUAAAUCCCAAGUUGUUAUUAGUACUUACGUUAUUAGUAAUCAUAAAAAUCCUUCAAACUUUAGAACAUUAUAUUAGACUCCGAAGAUUAAGUAUAGGCAAAUGCAGAUUUGCUAUAAGUUAAUUUAAAAGGGCAAAUUAAAAUUACAACAGCCAUAGUGUUCUUCAAUUGUUCUUUUUUAAAGCAUAACAAUAGCAUAUUUUUUACCAACAUAGGAAAUCUUUGUUAUUCAACAGUUAUAAUGAAUCAUGAAAUGAUGACACAAUUUGUUAGCUAGUUGUCCUGAUCAUUGAAUUUGAAAAUACUGUUCCUACAAAGAACUUUUUUUCAUCAUUGACUCUCACCUCACAAUGCCUGAUUUCUUUCUGUUCUGACUCUGAAUGAGACUCAGAAUUAAUGGUAAUAAGCUUAAAUGAAUUUUGUUAUGGAGCUGUUGGGAAAGUGUCUAGGUUGCUUUGCUCCAGGUUUAGACACUGAGACAGAGAUUUCAGUGCAGUGUAUUUGGAAGAUGACCUAAGAAAUCACUAGAUGGGAAGUAGAGAAGAGAGACAGGGAAGGGAAGGAUGCCCAUAAGGGUGCAAUAUGGAGAAGGUCCCUGCUGUGAGCAGCUGCCUCCCAUGUAGUUAGGGAUUAUGAAAAACCACAGAUCAUGCCUCAGAGUUAUCCCUUCUGAGUGAAGGGAGAAGCUGGGGUUUCCAAAUAUUCAUUCUAAAAAACAUCAGCCCAGACUGGAGUCACAGGUGAAGUCAAUUAAACUUUUAAAGGAUAGAAAAUUCCAAUAUUUUAAAAACUUUUCUGGAGUUACUAUUGUGCCUCAGUGGUUUAAGGACCCCACAUAGUGCCAUGAGGACGCAAGCUCAAUCCCUGGCCUUUGGGUUAAGGAUCUGGCACUGCUGCAAGCUGCAGCAUAGGUCACAGAUGUGGCUUGGAUUCUAUGUUGCCAUGGCUGUGGCAUAGGCUGGCAGCUGCAUCUCCGAUUCACUCCUAGCCCAGGAACUUUCAUAUGCUGUGGAUGUGGCUGUAAAAAGAUAAAAAAUUUUCUAAGUAUGAACUGCCAAAAUAUUUCACCAUGAAAAUAUAUAUAGAUAUGUUAUUUAUGGAUGUUAAUGUAAAAUGCUAAAUAAAUCACAUAAAUAUAAUCCUGUAGUGCAUUUAAUUAUUAAUAUAAAGAAAGUAAAUGGAAUUUAUUUCAGUAAUGUAGGAUGAUUUGAUAGUUGAAAAACCUUUAAUAUAAUUCACUAUGUUAAUAAGUUGAAUGACCAAAAAUUAAACCCAUUUGGUAAAAUUCAUUAUUCCUGGUUUUAAAAAGAAUUUAAAUAGGGUGUUCUAGGGAGUUCUCUUGUGGUGCAGUGGGUUAGGGAUCUGGCAUUUUUCACUGCAGUAGCUUGGGUCGCUGCUAUAGUACAUGUUCAAUCAAUCCCUGGCCUGGGAACUUCCAUAUGGCCCAGGCACAGCCAAAAAAAAAAAAGAGAGAGAGAGAGAGAGAGAGAAAUAAAAUUUGAUUAAAUUAAUACAUGAUUAAUGCUAAACACUAAAACCAUUUGCAUUAAGUUCAGAACAAAAUAAGAAUGCUCACUAUAUUCAUAAAGAUGAUAUCUGUUGCCUCUAACAAAUUACCUCAAAACUUAAAAGUUAAACCAGUAUUUGUGAUCUCAGUUUCAGUGGGUCAGGAAAUCAGAAGCAGUUUAGCUGAGUGCUUCUAGUUCAAAGUCUCUUACAAGACUGCAGUCAAGGUGUUGGUUCUGCAAUCAUGUCUAGUCUCUCUCUACUGGGGAGGAGCCCUACCUUACUACUUAUGCCAGAAUAAAACCUUAAUGAUCAAAUAUUUAAAUGCACACACACAUCUGAGGUAACUUUCUUUUUUAAAACAUCUUUAAGUUCCUGUCGUGGCUCAGUGGUAACAAACUGACUAGUAUCCAUAAGGAUGUGGGUUCAGUCCCUGACUUUGCUCAGCAGGUUAAGGAUCCGGCACUGCCGUGAGCUGUGGUGUAGGUUACAGAUACAGCUUGGAUCUGGCGUCGCUGUGUCUGUUGUGUAGGCCAGCAGCCGCAGCUCCAAUUCGACCACUAGCCUGGGAACUUCCAUAUAUGGGCAGGUGUGGCCCUAAAAAAAAAAUCUUUGAUAGGAAAUCUGGAAGACUGUAAACCCCAAAAUCAUAAAAGUAAAUAUUUUAUUUAAAAAUUUGUUAAAACUUUUUUGAUAAUAAAGUUGCCAUAAACAAAAGUAAAACAACACAACAAAAGCAAACACACUUGGAAAUAUUAAUAAUAUAUAUCAGAAAAAAAAGCUUAUUUCCUUAAUGGAGAAAAUCUUUUAAAAAUAUAUGAGCGAUUCUAAAACUAUUAGAAUAAUGUGCAAAGUAAAUAUAGUUUACAAAUAAGGAACCGAAAAGGCUUAUUAUAAUGAUAAGAUACCCAGCCCCCUCAUUAUUUAUAAAUCUCAAUGUUUCCAUAUUUUCAUGGAUCAGAUUAACAAUGAUACUAAAAUGUAAAAUUCUAUGGCAAGAAUGUAAACUUAAGUUUAAAUUGCUAUAAUUGCUUUUGAAGUUAAAUUUUAAUUUAAAAAAUAUGCUUGAUGUCUAGCCUAGCAAUUCUCUUAUUAGAAAUUUAUUCUAUAAAAAUUUAUACUGUUUAGUGAAUCUGCAGGGUUGUUCACUUCUGCUUUGUUUGAAAUUGUGAAAAACAAUCUAAAAGUCUCUCAAUAGAGGGCUAGCUAAUUAUAUAUAUAUGUAUUUAUUCAUAUAAUGAAAUAUUGGAUAUCAGAGUAGAAGUGAGACUAACUUUAUUUUCUACCCCAUAUUUUAUGGUCUGAUUAUUAAAAUUGUAAAAUAAUUUUCAAUAGUGUGAUUACUUAGAAAUUAAGAAAAUAUUCAGUAAUUUGAGGAACAAAAUUAGAAGCAACUUUUUUCAAAGUAUGUUUUGUAGAAAACAGUCUUGGAAAUGCUAUUAAAACAAUGACAAAAGCCAUAACAACAACUACAACAAAAUAGUUUCCUUUAGUCAAAAUAAUCAGACAUAUCCUGAACUCUACCUCAGACACAAUAAUGGGUAAAUGGGUAUACACAUAUGCAAUUCUCUUAAAAAUCUUGCAAACGGAGUUCCCACUAUGGCACAGUGGGUUAAGGAUCUGGCAUUGCCACAGCUGUAGCUUAGACUGCAGCUGU